This 592-nucleotide ribosomal RNA is filed under the name Ecumenicus sp. st1_5. RNAcentral's name for it is "SSU rRNA". It matches the Rfam family "Eukaryotic small subunit ribosomal RNA", at positions 1026 to 1643 of the family's 1831-position model. Lineage: Eukaryota; Metazoa; Nematoda; Enoplea; Dorylaimida; Qudsianematidae. RNAcentral also lists the same sequence under 7 other names. The record is from RNAcentral.
CUAACCGUAAACGAUGACAACCAGCGAUUAAUCGGCGUUAAUAUAUGACCCGAUUAGCAGCUUCCGGGAAACCAAAGUUUUUCGUUUCCGGGGGAAGUAUGGUUGCAAAGCUGAAACUUAAAGGAAUUGACGGAAGGGCACCACCAGGAGUGGAGCCUGCGGCUUAAUUUGACUCAACACGGGAAAACUCACCCGGCCCGGACACCGUAAGGAUUGACAGACUGAGAGCUCUUUCUUAAUUCGGUGGGUGGUGGUGCAUGGCCGUUCUUAGUUGGUGGAGCGAUUUGUCUGGUUAAUUCCGAUAACGAACGAGACUCUGGCCUAUUAAAUAGACGAUAUAUUUCAAAGUAUAUCGCGCUUCUUAGAGGGACAAGCGGCGUCUAGCCGCAUGAAAUAGAGCAAUAACAGGUCUGUGAUGCCCUUAGAUGUCCGGGGCUGCACGCGCGCUACACUGAAAGAAUCAGAGUGCGUUAUACCUAGUUCGGAAGAACCGGGUAACCCAAGUAAAUUCUUUCGUGCUUGGGAUAGGGAAUUGCAAUUAUUUCCCUUAAACGAGGAAUUCCCAGUAAAUGCGGGUCAUAAGCUCGCGUUG